RNAcentral lists this unclassified non-coding RNA (215 nucleotides) under Luzula elegans. The record is from RNAcentral. Lineage: Eukaryota; Viridiplantae; Streptophyta; Magnoliopsida; Poales; Juncaceae.
UCAAGACCCAAAUAGAAAGAUCGGCGCACGGUUAAAUGAAAUAAUAUGGUGGUUUUCUCUGCCAUGUCCCCGCAGCCCGCUCUGGCCGACACGGCCUUAGUGGAGCUUGUGAACAAAAAACGGCGCUGCUUUAGUGCCAAGGAAUACUUGUGAGCAGGGGCGUUGCAUUGCGGCUAUAGGCUUGGAUGAUUUGACGCCUUUGUUGGUAAAAACAU